Long non-coding RNA from Cottoperca gobio, 764 nucleotides. RefSeq lists it as uncharacterized. The transcript is spliced from 3 exons. The record is from RefSeq and is a predicted model, not a curated record. NCBI's taxonomy places the organism in Eukaryota, Metazoa, Chordata, Actinopteri, Perciformes, Bovichtidae.
UGGAGCUAAACACAACUCAAGAAGAAGAAGAGAGAGAGAAGAAUGGGACACUACUGUCACCGUCUCCCGCCGGUUCCCAGACGCCGCAUCACAUGCAUCUUCCUCCCCGCUGCACAGAUCUCCACGGUGGGGGUUGCUGUGCUACACCGCCCCCUCGCGUCCGGCCGAGCACCUGCACCCCCCCCGCUGAGCGCUCAGACGGGCUUGGCGCUCGGAGGUCUGCAGGCUGCCGCCGCUUCCUCUCCUGCCUGAACACAGCUUGUUCUCCCGCAGAUCCCCGGCGGACAGCCGUACUCUCCGCUCUCCAGGAACACCUUCACGGGGAGAUAAAACUGCUUUUUCCGACGCCGUGUUCCCUUUCUGAAGCCGCCCUGGUCUGCCUGUGUGGAUAAAGAGCUGCAGGGAGGAGACAGCCUCCCUUCUUCAGCUGAUAGAUACCAGGACACUGACCUGGUUAGACGCACUGCAUCUGGUGACCUGGUGAAAUACAUCAGCUUUAAAUGUGCUUCUUAGACACUCCACCUCCCCUGCUGAUGGGAUGGAAAUGAAAGCAGCUUCAGUGUGUAAAACAUGGAGGGACAUGACAGAUAUCAGGUUUGAGGUGUCGGCAGCCUCCAUCUCAUGAUGCUGCUGAUGUAACGCACGAGGAAUCCACAAUAUUAGUGUUGUAGAACUAUAUUUAGUGUUGAAACGAUUACUUGAUUGAAUAAUCGUCGAUUUUGCUGCUUUUCCCAGUAAAAUAUCGUCAUAAAUUGUAUUUGGUG